AUACGGAGGGUGCAAGCGUUGUUCGGAAUCACUGGGCGUAAAGGGCGCGCAGGCGGUUUUACAAGUCAGAUGUGAAAGCCCACGGCUCAACCGUGGAAGUGCAUUUGAAACUGUAAGACUUGAGUAUCAGAGGGGAAGGUGGAAUUCCCGGUGUAGAGGUGAAAUGCGUAGAUAUCGGGAGGAAUACCGGUGGCGAAGGCGACUUUCUGGCUGAAUACUGACGCUGAGGCGCGAAAGCGUGGGGAGCAAACAGGAUUAGAAACCCCAGUAGUCC
This 274-nucleotide ribosomal RNA is filed under the name uncultured bacterium. RNAcentral describes it as "partial 16S ribosomal RNA". It matches the Rfam family "Bacterial small subunit ribosomal RNA", at positions 523 to 796 of the family's 1533-position model. The record is from RNAcentral.